UGGGGAAUAUUGGACAAUGGGCGCAAGCCUGAUCCAGCCAUGCCGCGUGUGUGAAGUAGGCCUUUUGGUUGUAAAGCACUUUAAGCGAGGAGGAGGCUACUUGGAUUAAUACUCUAGGAUAGUGGACGUUACUCGCAGAAUAAGCACCGGCUAACUCUGUGCCAGCAGCCGCGGUAAUACAGAGGGUGCGAGCGUUAAUCGGAUUUACUGGGCGUAAAGCGUGCGUAGGCGGCUUCUUAAGUCGGAUGUGAAAUCCCUGAGCUUAACUUAGGAAUUGCAUUAGAUACUGGGAAGCUAGAGUAUGGGAGAGGAUGGUAGAAUUCCAGGUGUAGCGGUGAAAUGCGUAGAGAUCUGGAGGAAUACCGAUGGCGAAGGCAGCCAUCUGGCCUAAUACUGACGCUGAGGUACGAAAGCAUGGGGAGCAAACAGG
Molecule: ribosomal RNA, 430 nt
Filed under: Acidobacteriota bacterium
Lineage: Bacteria; Pseudomonadati; Acidobacteriota
Description: Acidobacteria bacterium partial 16S ribosomal RNA
Rfam family: Bacterial small subunit ribosomal RNA
Source: RNAcentral